RNAcentral lists this transfer RNA (76 nucleotides) under Candidatus Poseidoniia archaeon. Its description in RNAcentral is "tRNA-Met". It matches the Rfam family "tRNA". From Rfam's summary of the family: Transfer RNA (tRNA) molecules are approximately 80 nucleotides in length. RNAcentral also lists the same sequence under 1 other name. The record is from RNAcentral. Lineage: Archaea; Methanobacteriati; Thermoplasmatota; Candidatus Poseidoniia.
GCCGGGGUGGCGUAGUUGGUAGCGCGCCGGACUCAUAAUCCGGAGGUCGCGGGUUCAAACCCCGCUCCCGGCACCA